Molecule: ribosomal RNA, 1067 nt
Filed under: Staphylococcus aureus
Lineage: Bacteria; Bacillati; Bacillota; Bacilli; Caryophanales; Staphylococcaceae
Description: partial 23S ribosomal RNA
Rfam family: Bacterial large subunit ribosomal RNA
Source: RNAcentral
AUAAUCCUGUAGUCGAAAAUGUUGUCUCUCUUGAGUGGAUCCUGAGUACGACGGAGCACGUGAAAUUCCGUCGGAAUCUGGGAGGACCAUCUCCUAAGGCUAAAUACUCUCUAGUGACCGAUAGUGAACCAGUACCGUGAGGGAAAGGUGAAAAGCACCCCGGAAGGGGAGUGAAAUAGAACCUGAAACCGUGUGCUUACAAGUAGUCAGAGCCCGUUAAUGGGUGAUGGCGUGCCUUUUGUAGAAUGAACCGGCGAGUUACGAUUUGAUGCAAGGUUAAGCAGUAAAUGUGGAGCCGUAGCGAAAGCGAGUCUGAAUAGGGCGUUUAGUAUUUGGUCGUAGACCCGAAACCAGGUGAUCUACCCUUGGUCAGGUUGAAGUUCAGGUAACACUGAAUGGAGGACCGAACCGACUUACGUUGAAAAGUGAGCGGAUGAACUGAGGGUAGCGGAGAAAUUCCAAUCGAACCUGGAGAUAGCUGGUUCUCUCCGAAAUAGCUUUAGGGCUAGCCUCAAGUGAUGAUUAUUGGAGGUAGAGCACUGUUUGGACGAGGGGCCCCUCUCGGGUUACCGAAUUCAGACAAACUCCGAAUGCCAAUUAAUUUAACUUGGGAGUCAGAACAUGGGUGAUAAGGUCCGUGUUCGAAAGGGAAACAGCCCAGACCACCAGCUAAGGUCCCAAAAUAUAUGUUAAGUGGAAAAGGAUGUGGCGUUGCCCAGACAACUAGGAUGUUGGCUUAGAAGCAGCCAUCAUUUAAAGAGUGCGUAAUAGCUCACUAGUCGAGUGACACUGCGCCGAAAAUGUACCGGGGCUAAACAUAUUACCGAAGCUGUGGAUUGUCCUUUGGACAAUGGUAGGAGAGCGUUCUAAGGGCGUUGAAGCAUGAUCGUAAGGACAUGUGGAGCGCUUAGAAGUGAGAAUGCCGGUGUGAGUAGCGAAAGACGGGUGAGAAUCCCGUCCACCGAUUGACUAAGGUUUCCAGAGGAAGGCUCGUCCGCUCUGGGUUAGUCGGGUCCUAAGCUGAGGCCGACAGGCGUAGGCGAUGGAUAACAGGUUGAUAUUCCUGU